This 224-nucleotide ribosomal RNA is filed under the name uncultured bacterium. RNAcentral describes it as "partial 16S ribosomal RNA". It matches the Rfam family "Bacterial small subunit ribosomal RNA", at positions 32 to 233 of the family's 1533-position model. The record is from RNAcentral.
AAUCAACGCUGGCGGCGUGCCUCAGACAUGCAAGUCGAACGCGAAAGUUUCCUUCGGGAAACAAGUAGAGUGGCGCACGGGUGAGUAACACGUAGGUAAUCUACCUUCGGAUGGGGAAUAACAAUCGGAAACGAUUGCUAAUACCGCAUAAUGCAGCGGCACUUAAAUGGUGACAGUUGUUAAAGCGGGGGAGUCGAAGGACCUCGCGUCUGAAGAGGAGCCUG